Molecule: ribosomal RNA, 793 nt
Filed under: uncultured archaeon
Lineage: Archaea
Description: bacterial SSU rRNA
Rfam family: Archaeal small subunit ribosomal RNA
Source: RNAcentral
ACUGCUCAGUAACACGUGGAUAAUCUGCCCUUGGGUGGGGCAUAAUCUCGAGAAAUUGAGCAUAAUACCCCAUAGAUCUAGUAUGCUGGAAUGCUUCUAGAUUGAAAACUGCGGUGCCCAAGGAUGAGUCUGCGGCCUAUCAGGCUGUAGUGAGUGUAAUGGACUCACUAACCGACGACGGGUACGGGCCUUGAGAGAGGUAGCCCGGAGAUGGACUCUGAGACACGAGUCCAGGCCCUACGGGGCGCAGCAGGCGCGAAAACUUCACAAUGCGGGAAACCGUGAUGAGGGAAUUCCAAGUGCUAGCAUUUCUUUUGUUAGCUGUUUACAUGCUUAAAACGCAUGUAGAGUAAGAGCUGGGUAAGACUGGUGCCAGCCGCCGCGGUAAUACCAGCAGCUCAAGUGGUGGUCGUUAUUAUUGGGCCUAAAGCGUCCGUAGCCGGUCUGGUAAACUCUUGGGUAAAUCGGGCAGCUUAACUGUCCGAAUUCUGAGGAGACUGCCAGACUUGGGACCGGGAGAGGUCAGAGGUACUCCUGGGGUAGGGGUGAAAUCCUGUAAUCCUAUGGGGACCACCAGUGGCGAAGGCGUCUGAUCAGAACGGGUCCGACGGUAAGGGACGAAGCCCUGGGGCACAAACCGGAUUAGAUACCCGGGUAGUCCAGGGUGUAAACGCUGCAGGCUUGGUGUUGGGGGUCCUACGAGGGCACUCAGUGCCGGAGAGAAGUUGUUAAGCCUGCCACCUGGGGAGUACGUCCGCAAGGAUGAAACUUAAAGGAAUUGGCGGGGGAGCAC